UGGCGACCGGCGCACGGGUGAGUAACACGUAUCCAACCUGCCGCUUACUCGGGGAUAGCCUUUCGAAAGAAAGAUUAAUACCCGAUGGUAUAAAGAGUUCGCAUGUUCUCUUUAUUAAAGAAUUUCGGUAAGCGAUGGGGAUGCGUUCCAUUAGAUAGUUGGCGGGGUAACGGCCCACCAAGUCUACGAUGGAUAGGGGUUCUGAGAGGAAGGUCCCCCCACAUUGGAACUGAGACACGGUCCAAACUCCUACGGGAGGCAGCAGUGAGGAAUAUUGGUCAAUGGACGAGAGUCUGAACCAGCCAAGUAGCCGUGAAGGAUGACUGCCCUAUGGGUUGUAAACUUCUUUUAUAAGGGAAUAAAGUGAGGGACGUGUCCCUUUUUGUAUGUACCUUAUGAAUAAGGAUCGGCUAACUCCGUGCCAGCAGCUGC
This 432-nucleotide ribosomal RNA is filed under the name uncultured bacterium. Its description in RNAcentral is "bacterial SSU rRNA". It matches the Rfam family "Bacterial small subunit ribosomal RNA", at positions 89 to 518 of the family's 1533-position model. The record is from RNAcentral.